RNAcentral lists this ribosomal RNA (471 nucleotides) under uncultured bacterium. RNAcentral's name for it is "bacterial SSU rRNA". It matches the Rfam family "Bacterial small subunit ribosomal RNA", at positions 40 to 507 of the family's 1533-position model. The record is from RNAcentral.
CGGCAUGCCUUACACGAUGCAAGUCGAAACGGCAAGCACGGGAGCAAUCCUGGUGCGAGUGGCGAACGGGUGAGUAAUAUAUCGGAACGUGCCCGGUCGUGGGGGAUAACGUAGCGAAAGCUACGCUAAUACCGCAUACGAUCUACGGAUGAAANCGGGGAUCGCAAGACCUCGCGCGAUUGGAGCGGCCGAUAUCAGAUUAGGUAGUUGGUGAGGUAAAGGCUCACCAAGCCGACGAUCUGUAGCUGGUCUGAGAGGACGACCAGCCACACUGGGACUGAGACACGGCCCAGACUCCUACGGGAGGCAGCAGUGGGAAUUUUGGACAAUGGGCGCAAGCCUGAUCCAGCAAUGCCGCGUGCAGGAUGAAGGCCUUCGGGUUGUAAACUGCUUUGUACGGAACGAAACGGUGAGCUCUAAUACAGUUUGCUAAUGACGGUACCGUAAGAAUAAGCACCGGCUAACUACGUG